AAGUCGUAACAAGGUAACCGUAGGUGAACCUGCGGUUGGAUCAUUACCAAAUAUCCAAUGGGACUAGGGUGUGCGUUGAGUCUAGUAAUUUUGGUUGCUAGGCCCACGUCUCUCUUUUUCCCAUUUCCCACCUUUUGUGCAAUGUAAUGUAUUUGGCGGGCCAUGCUUAGUAAUUAUCGAGGUCGUUUCGGCCUAGUAAUUACCAAGAUCGCUUAUGAAGGCGGGCCUAUAUGGACCACCAUCAACCGUCAUGUUAACACACCUAAUAUUAUCUAUACCAACAAUCUGACGUUUAUAUGCUAGGGGACGCGUUUGCGCUCCCUGGAACAUAACCGAAAACAACUUUUGACAACGGAUCUCUUGGCUCUC
RNAcentral lists this unclassified non-coding RNA (369 nucleotides) under fungal sp. Its description in RNAcentral is "partial internal transcribed spacer region". The stretch from base 1 to 46 matches the Rfam family "Eukaryotic small subunit ribosomal RNA", at positions 1786 to 1831 of the family's 1831-position model. The record is from RNAcentral. Lineage: Eukaryota; Fungi.